RNAcentral lists this ribosomal RNA (35 nucleotides) under Armillaria sinapina. RNAcentral's name for it is "partial 28S ribosomal RNA". Lineage: Eukaryota; Fungi; Basidiomycota; Agaricomycetes; Agaricales; Physalacriaceae. The record is from RNAcentral.
GACCUCAAAUCAGUAGGACUACCCGCUGAACUUAA